Molecule: long non-coding RNA, 2822 nt
Filed under: Taeniopygia guttata (zebra finch)
Lineage: Eukaryota; Metazoa; Chordata; Aves; Passeriformes; Estrildidae
Description: lncRNA (ENSTGUG00000024546.1)
Source: RNAcentral
AGAGUUAAAUUGUCUGCCAAACUCUGCUUUAAUGUCAAACUGUCGCUUUUACAGAGAAGAUAAAAGCUCAAAACAAACAAAAAUUUAAAAUAAAAUCACACAAAUCCACUGCAACUUUCAAAUAGCAUGCAGACAGCAGGGUGCCUUAUAAACAUCCCUGCUUACAAAGUCACCUUUUGAAAUACCAGCAAUUAUACUGCAUGAGGCACAGUUGCUACUCAUGUGCCAGUUGUCACUUUUUAAAAGAUGACUAUUAGUUAUAUUUCCUCCCUAUGAGACAUUGUGAAGCUUCUUAGCAUUUUGAGAAAGCAAGCAUGUAUUCCAAAAUGCAUAUAUCCUAGAAAAACAAACAAACAAACAAAACCCAAACCCACAACCAAACAACUUGGCAUUUAUAAAUGGCAUAGGAUAUUCAUGGCAUAACUAGAAGCUCAUUUUCUGUUGCAGGUGAGGGCUGCUGUCUGCACUCUCACUGCAACCUCACCAUGGAAAGACUGCCAUAAAUAUGUACAACAUGUAGGAGACCAAAAAGGAAGAAAGCAGGAGCAAGUUGUGGAAUAGAAAGUAAGUCUAUAACACCAGCUCUGGUGUUAAAAUAUUUUUGUAUCCAUUACACAGAGUUCCGACUGCUGUCCUUGCACCACUGUGGUUUUUUAAGCACUUUAAAAAUUUCUAAUAAAAAUGCUCUUUUAGGUUCAUUGAACACUUUACAUAAAAAGAAAGAAAAUUGAAAGCAUGGCUCAAAGGCUGUGAAGUAACAUGGGGUUUUUAGAUGCUUCUUCAACCUCAUGUUGGUCUCAACCCAUACUCAUAGAAAUCGGGAAUGCAGAGACAGAUUUAGCAAAAGGGUUUGGUUUGUAGAAGCUUCCAAAUCUCUCUGUUAUACUUUCUUACUCUGUGUCUGACAUUAAAGAUGCCAUUAGAGAUGGAGAAGUGGCAGAGACAGAAGUAGAAAUACUGUUCUUGGGGUGGGGUAGGGGGAACAAACCCAACCAAAGACCUUUCCAAAAUGCCAACCAAGGCUUUACAUCACUGCUCCUUUCUUCUCUCUGCAUGCUUAACAGUGAAUCAGCUGAACAGAAUGAAACAGGACUCAGGGUCAUUGCUGGAAGAGGUAGAAGGUAUAAGCCACCAUGGGGUUUGAUGCCUACUGCUCUAAAAUGUUAUUGCUUCUGAUUUCCAUGUAGGGAGGAAACAUCUUCAUUGUUAUGGGUAAGUAGUCACAGGAGAACAUGCAUUAAAUCAAAGUUAAUCAAUACUGUGCUUAACAAUGCAUUACCUGGAAAAGCAAAACAGAUGCUUGAGAAGAGCAGAAUUUCCAUGUUUUGUGUACGUCAGUUCUAACACAGUUUUUUGAGGAAUCCUAACCAGAUCACCCCCCCUUAUUUUUCAGAAAGAACAAAAAUUUUCUGCUUGCUAUAUCAGAUCUGACCUCUAGCCUCUUAUGAAAGAAUUGUCUGCAUCUUUUUCCCUUAAUUUUGGAGUAUGCCAAGAAUAGUUCUCUUCAAGGACUUGGUUUCAUUUGCUCUGAGAUCUAGAAAAUUUGUUUUCGCCACCAUAUUUGAAACACCUUUAAUUCUUGAGAAGAGGAUGAAUCUUACAAUUUAGUUAAACUGAAUGUGAUUUUUCUGUGGUUGCAUUUAUGAGAAAGGAGGUUACCACUCCAUGACAAGCACAAAGUAUUUGGGUAACAACAGACCUGUGUGUCCCACAAAUAACCCUUGCUUUUUACAAGUUUUGGUGGAGGAUCACUGCUAGAUUUGAGGAUAGCUGGCAACCUUUUUUCUCAAGCUAGAGAGCUCAAGAAGAGCUAUUUAAGGCUCCUCUGUAUGGAGAAGCUGUUGAGGAAUAAGCUAGUGGGAGAAGUUAAAGAACAAAAGACGGUCUCUUGGAAGAGGUUGUAGUACCAGACUGCUUCUAUGGAGUGCAGUAGCCAUGUUGGAAGCCCCUAAUUCCCUGAAUAGGGGUGGCAUCUUGGUUUAGAGUCCACUGUUCUAGUGUCACUUAAUUAUGAGGAAAUCCAAUUUUUCAUAAAUAGAGCACAAAAGGCAGAAAAAGAGAUUCUAGACAUAAUUUUGUUUCUGAGAACAGCAUAGAGCUUAAGGGGUCUGGGCAGAAUACAAACAAAAAGAACCCCAAGUUGAAGUACUCUUAAAGUCACAGUUUUUCAACAUGGCCUUUAAAGUCCAUAAAAAACAGAGUGUGGUGGCAGAUCAGACUUAUCAGUAGCCUGAAUCUCUAAGAAGCACAAUAAAACUGAACCAAGCAGAGCUUAAACAGUUAACACUAUGCAUAGAAUAGUUUCCAGGUAUUUAACUAAUUCAAUUAAUAAACUAUUUUAACUAACCUUUUGCAAAUUUUGUAUAUCAGCAUUCAUCACUGUGAUCUGAGCAUAACUACCUCAUGCUACCUCCUUAGAACCAAAAACAUGACAAGAUGAAUAUAAAAGUAAAAUGGUCUCAUUCAACAACACAGUCCAAGAUAGGUGAAAUAUAAAUAAGAAAACAGCCAUAUAUAGCUAUAUAGCCAUAGUAGUUUACACAACUACUGACAGUGAUGCUAAGAACAGAGCUGGCUGCACAAUUUCAAUCUUCUGUGUGCACUUUUGUUUCAAAAUACCUGAACGUGUGCAUGUGUGAUGCUUGUUUCUUCAGAUUCUAGCUGAGACUGAAAGGGGAACAAUGUCCAAAUCCCUUUUAAUCUCUCAUUAUUGUUUUGGCACAGGAAGAGCUCUCAGUCAAUCAUUUGCAUCCACUGGCUACAAGCAACUUGGUAUGACGUUUAACUCAAUGUGCUUUGUCCUUUCCAGUGGUGUGUCUUUG